This 271-nucleotide ribosomal RNA is filed under the name uncultured bacterium. Its description in RNAcentral is "partial 16S ribosomal RNA". It matches the Rfam family "Bacterial small subunit ribosomal RNA", at positions 524 to 792 of the family's 1533-position model. The record is from RNAcentral.
UACGAAGGGGGCUAGCGUUGUUCGGAAUUACUGGGCGUAAAGCGAACGUAGGCGGUGUUCCAUGUCAGAGGUGAAAGCCUGGGGCUCAACUCCAGAAUUGCCUUUGAAACGGGGACGCUUGAGUCCGAGAGAGGAUGGCGGAAUUCCUAGUGUAGAGGCGAAAUUCGUAGAUAUUAGGAAGAACACCGGUGGCGAAGGCGGCCAUCUGGCUCGGUACUGACGCUCAGGUUCGAAAGCGUGGGGAGCAAACAGGAUUAGAUCGACCCCGGUA